GCCCCAGCACCAAGAGGAUGGCGCUGGGGAGUUUUCAAACCUCAUCAAAAGAAGGAGCACCUCAAGUAGCAGCGGGGAAGGCCCGAGGGGCUGAGGCCUCCGGCAUCCCAGGUGUCCCCCGGGGGGGUCAGGGCCCAGGCCUGGGGGCAGGAGGCUCCUGCCCGGCUCUGCGGCUGGCCUGACCGUGGCCGGGCGCCGGGCCUCUCUGGGCUCCGUCCCCUCAACUCUUCGACGCCCCUGCUCUAGGAUGUCACGAAGAAGAAAUGAGAAAUUGCGGAUGGAAGCCCAGGAGGGCCCCAGAGCAGAGGUUUCUCCAGCCCAGAAUGCCACUCGUGCCGUGGUUAGGGCUCACCAAACCCGGGAGGAGAACACGGAACGUUUAAUGACAAAGGUUGGUUUUUACUAUUUGGGGGGCCCGGCUGCAGGUGCCAGGGAAGGUGUGGGGGGGGGGGCAGGGGCAGUUGGGAGGAAGGUGAGGCCUUCAGGCAAAGGUUCUCUCUCUCUUUGUUCAGACAGCAAACCUUUCCUGAGAGCUCAGUCUGCGCCAGGGGCUGAGCAAAAAUGGCCCUGCCCCCUGCUCUGGCAGAGCAUCCAGUCUCGUGGGGCCCAGUGAGAGGGAACCACACAGACUGGGUGAGCAAGGAAGCAGGAACGGCCCCGAGCAUCCACCAGCAGAUGUACGGAGAAACAGAGUGUGACCCACCCAUACAACGGAAUAUUAUUCAGCCCUGAAAAAGAGCGACGUUCUGAUACACGCUACAGCACCGGUGACCCUUAGAAACGUCAUCCUGAGUGAAAGAAGUCAAACACAGAAGAACCACGUAUUGUAGGAUUCCAGUCCUAUGAAAUAUCCAGAAGAGCCCAAUCUACAGAAACAGCAGAUUAGGGGGUGCCUGGGCCUGGAGAGGAAGUUUAUUUGGGGGUCAUGAAAAUGUCCUAAACUUGAUAGUAGUGAUGGCUGCACAAGUCUAGAAUAGACUAAAGACCACUGACCUGUACACUUUAAGGGGGUAAAUUAUGUGGCCUGUGGCUUCUAACUCAGUAAAGCUGUGAUAUAUACAUUUAUAAAGGUGAAUGGAGAGCCGUGUAAUGAAUAUAAAAGCUGCAAAAGGCUGAGGUGGAGCAGCCCUGGGGCCAGGCUGUGCCCUGCUGGUGGCCUCUGGGAGGCCUGCAGGCUGGGGUGGAAGGAGGAGAGGACAAUUGCAGGCAGGAGGGACAGUGUGUGCAGUCCCUGCUCCCGGGGUGGCGAACGGGGGAUGAGACAGGGAGCUCGGAGGAUUCCAGAAGGGAGAGAUAGGUUUGGGUGCCCGGGAGUGGGAGGUGGGCUGGAG
This 1331-nucleotide long non-coding RNA is filed under the name Dasypus novemcinctus (nine-banded armadillo). RNAcentral describes it as "lncRNA (ENSDNOG00000051126.1)". The record is from RNAcentral. Lineage: Eukaryota; Metazoa; Chordata; Mammalia; Cingulata; Dasypodidae.